GCUUUCGAUGGUAGUGUAUUGGACUACCAUGGCUCUCACGGGUAACAGGGAAUUAGGGUUCGAUUCUGGAGAAGGAGCCUGAGAAACGGCUACUACAUCUACGGAAGGCAGCAGGCGCGUAAAUUACCCAAUCCUGACUCAGGGAGGUGGUGACAAGAUAUAAUGACGCUAUGAAAAAUAGUGAUUAUAGUGAGGGUAUUCCAAACCGAACCACAAGUACGAUUAGAGGGCAAG
This 234-nucleotide ribosomal RNA is filed under the name uncultured ciliate. RNAcentral's name for it is "partial 18S ribosomal RNA". It matches the Rfam family "Eukaryotic small subunit ribosomal RNA", at positions 318 to 559 of the family's 1831-position model. The record is from RNAcentral. Lineage: Eukaryota; Ciliophora.